CAAGGAAUAGUUUAAUUUAAAAUAAUAAUUUUGGGGAUUAUGGAAGGAAUAAUAUAAUUCUUUCCUUGA
RNAcentral lists this transfer RNA (69 nucleotides) under Amazonina sp. Z256E. RNAcentral's name for it is "tRNA-Pro". Lineage: Eukaryota; Metazoa; Arthropoda; Insecta; Blattodea; Pseudophyllodromiidae. The record is from RNAcentral.